UCAGGAUGAACGCUAGCGGUUGGCUUAACACAUGCAAGUCGAACGGUAAGGUCUCGCUUGCGAGAUACACGAGUGGCGCACGGGUGAGUAACGCGUAUGCAACCUGCCUUUAGCUGGAGAAUAGCCCGAGGAAACUUGGAUUAAUACUCCAUAAUAUUUCAAAAUUACAUGAUUUUGUUAUUAAAACUCCGGUGGCUAAAGAUGGGCAUGCGUGCCAUUAGCUUGUUGGUGAGGUAACGGCUCACAAAGGCAAUGAUGGCUAGGGGGUCUAAAAGGAUGGUCCCCCACACUGGUACUGAGACACGGACCAGACUCCUACGGGAGGCAGCAGUGAGGAAUAUUGGGCAAUGGACGAAAGUCUGACCCAGCCAAACCGUGUGCAGGAUGAAGGCUCUACGAGUCGUAAACUGCUUUUAUUUGGGAAGAAACCUUCGGAUGUAUUCGAAGUUGACGGUACCAAAUGAAUAAGCAUCGGCUAACUCCGUGCCAGCAGCCGCGGUAAUACGGAGGAUGCAGGCGUUAUCCGGAUUUAUUAGGUUUAAAGGGUACGUAGGCGGAUUAGUAAGUUAGUGGUGAAAUCCUGUGGCUUAACCAUAGAACUGCCAUUAAUACUGCUUAUCUUGAAUACAGUUGAAGUAGGCGGAAUGUAUCAUGUAGCGGUGAAAUGCAUAGAUCUGAUACAGAACACCAAUUGCGAAGGCAGCUUACUAAACUGUAAUUGACGCUAAUGUACGAAAGCGUGGGGAGCGAACAGGAUUAGAUACCCUGGUAGUCCACGCCGUAAACGAUGAUCACUCGUUGUGUGCGAUAACAUGUACGUGACUGAGAGCAAUCGUCACGUGAUCCACCUGGGGAGUACCGUCAGCAAUGAUGAGACUCACAGGAAUUGACGGGGGGCUCCGCACAAGCGGAGGAACCUGUCGUUCAAUUCGAUGAUACGCGAGGAACCCUUACCUGGGUUUAAAUGCAUUGCACGUUCGGGUGUAGUUCACCGUAAGUUUACUUUAAUUUGCAAGGUGCUGCAUGGUUGUCGUCAGCUCUUGCCGUGAGUUUUCGGUUUAAGUCCCAUAACGAGCGCAACCCCUAUCCUUAGUUGCCAUCAGAUAAUGCUGGGUACUCUAAGGUACCUGCCAUCGUAAGAUGUUGAGGAAGGUGGGGAUGACGUCAAAUCAGCACGGCCCUUAUGUCCAGGGCUACACACGUGUUACAAUGGCAAGAACAAAGGGCAGCUACCAGACAACUGGAUGCUAAUCUCUAAAACUUGUCUCAGUUCGGAUUGAAGUCUGCAAUUCGACUUCAUGAAGACGGAUUCGCUAGUAAUCGCGCAUCAGCAACGGCGCGGUGUAUACGUUCCCGGGCAUUGUACACACCGCCCGUCAAGCCAU
This 1385-nucleotide ribosomal RNA is filed under the name uncultured organism. RNAcentral's name for it is "bacterial SSU rRNA". It matches the Rfam family "Bacterial small subunit ribosomal RNA". The record is from RNAcentral.